This 468-nucleotide ribosomal RNA is filed under the name uncultured bacterium. Its description in RNAcentral is "partial 16S ribosomal RNA". It matches the Rfam family "Bacterial small subunit ribosomal RNA", at positions 28 to 507 of the family's 1533-position model. The record is from RNAcentral.
GACGAACGCUGGCGGCGUGCUUAACACAUGCAAGUCGAACGGAAAGGCCCUGCUUUUGUGGGGUGCUCGAGUGGCGAACGGGUGAGUAACACGUGAGUAACCUGCCCUUGACUUUGGGAUAACUUCAGGAAACUGGGGCUAAUACCGGAUAGGAGCUCCUGCUGCAUGGUGGGGGUUGGAAAGUUUCGGCGGUCGGGGAUGGACGCGCGGCUUAUCAGCUUGUUGGUGGGGUGGUGGCUUACCAAGGAUUUGACGGGUAGCCGGCCUGAGAGGGUGACCGGCGACAUUGGGACUGAGAUACGGCGCAGACUCCUACGGGAGGCAGCAGGGGGGAAUAUUGCACAGUGGGGGGGAGCCUGAUGCAGCGACGCCGCGUGCGGGAUGACGGCCUUCGGGUUGUAAACCGCUUUCGCCUGUGACGAAGCGUGAGUGACGGUAAUGGGUGAAGAAGCACCGGCUAACUACGUG